RNAcentral lists this non-coding RNA (58 nucleotides) under soil metagenome. RNAcentral describes it as "Actino-pnp RNA". It matches the Rfam family "Actino-pnp RNA". RNAcentral also lists the same sequence under 1 other name. The record is from RNAcentral.
CUGGUCCUCGGUAGUGGCCCCCGGAGUAGCACAUUCCGUGGGCCUCGAUCGAUGACCG